GACGAACGCUGGCGGCGUGCUUAAUACAUGCAAGUGGAGCGACGAACCAGGCUUCGGCCUGGGGCAGAGCCGCGAACGGGUGAGUAACACGUGGGUAACCUGCCUCGAUGACCGGGACAACCCGGGGAAACCCGGGCUAAUACCGGAUGUGCUGUCCCCACAUCAGUGGAGACAGGAAAGGAAGCUUCGGCCUCCGCAUCGAGAUGGGCCCGCGGCCCAUUAGCUUGUUGGUGUGGAACGGCUCACCAAGGCUGCGAUGGGUAGCUGGUCUGAGAGGACGAUCAGCCACACUGGGACUGAGACACGGCCCAGACUCCUACGGGAGGCAGCAGUAGGGAAUCUUGCGCAAUGCGCGAAAGCGUGACGCAGCAACGCCGCGUGGGGGAAGAAGGCCU
RNAcentral lists this ribosomal RNA (395 nucleotides) under uncultured bacterium. RNAcentral describes it as "bacterial SSU rRNA". It matches the Rfam family "Bacterial small subunit ribosomal RNA", at positions 28 to 417 of the family's 1533-position model. The record is from RNAcentral.